UUUUGGCAAAGAAGUUGCAGGAGGAAGAAGCUGCAAGGGCUGCUGAAGAGGAGAAACGUCGUAAGGAGGAGGAGGAAAGGUGUGCCGCUGAAGCUGCUUUGCAACAGAAGAAGUUAAAGGAAAAAGAGAAGAAACUUCUGCGUAAAGAACGGACUCGUCUUCGAACACUUUCAGCUUCUAUUUUGUGUCGGCAUUUGCUUGAUCUUUUUGAGGAUGAUGUCGAAAAUCUUUGUUUGUCAUUGGAUAUUGA
RNAcentral lists this unclassified non-coding RNA (250 nucleotides) under Hevea brasiliensis (rubber tree). The record is from RNAcentral. Lineage: Eukaryota; Viridiplantae; Streptophyta; Magnoliopsida; Malpighiales; Euphorbiaceae.